AUGCGUCCGUCCCUCUGUCAUGUUCCUUUUCUUCUUCUGCUACUAUUACAUGUGGUCAUUGCUAGACCAUUCUUUCCACUGCCAAGUAAGACCAGUAAUGAAGAGAAGAAGCCCAUACAGACAUUUCGACCGUAUAACAUUGCUCACCGUGGCUCAAACGGGGAAAUCCCAGAGGAAACAAGUGCUGCUUACCUGAGGGCUAUUGAAGAAGGUGCAGAUUUUAUAGAGACUGACAUCCUUGCUAGCAAAGAUGGUGCAUUGAUCUGCUUUCAUGAUGUAACACUUGAUGAUACAACUGAUAUUUCCGGCCGUAAGGAAUUCGCCAAUCGAAGGAGAACCUAUGAGGUGGAAUGGGCCAACGUUACUGGCUGGUUUGUAGUGGAUUUCACGCUUGAGGAACUUAAAACACUUAAAGUGAAGCAGCGAUACUCAUUCAGAGAUCAACAAUAUAAUGGCAAAUUUUCAAUCAUCACAUUUGAAGAAUUCAUUUCAGUUGCCUUAGAUGCAAGCAGAACCGUUGGAAUAUAUCCAGAGAUAAAAGAUCCAGUUUUUAUCAACAAGCAUGUAAAGUGGGCAGAUGGAAAGAAGUUUGAGGACAAAUUUGUGGAUACCUUACUAAAGUAUGGAUACAGGGGUCAAUAUAUGUCCGAAAAUUGGCUAAAACAGCCAUUGUUUAUACAAUCAUUUGCUCCCUCUUCCCUUGUACAUGUAUCAAAUUUGACAGACUCUCCGAAGAUCUUUCUGAUUGAUGAUACCACAGUGAGAACUCAAGACACAAACCAGUCAUACUGGGAAAUCACUUCAGAUGACUACCUUGCAUAUAUUAGUAACUAUGUUGUCGGCCUCGGUCCAUGGAAAGAUACUAUUGUUCCAGUUGCAAAAAACUAUUUGCUGGAACCAACUGAUCUUGUUGCAAGAGCGCAUGCUCAUAAUCUCCAGGUACACCCUUACACAUACAGGAACGAGAACCAGUUUCUGCACUUCGACUUUCAUCAGGAUCCCUAUGCCGAGUUCGAUUUCUGGAUAAAUACGAUGGGGGUUGACGGAUUAUUCACAGAUUUCGCUGGAAGCGUACACAAGUACCAAGAACUGAAAUCUCCACACCCGAAGGACGCAACCGCGAACAGCCUCCUAGUAAAAAUUGCUCAGUUGAUCGCGGCAUACGAAGGCCACUGA
RNAcentral lists this ribosomal RNA (1176 nucleotides) under Triticum aestivum (bread wheat). Its description in RNAcentral is "partial small subunit ribosomal RNA". Lineage: Eukaryota; Viridiplantae; Streptophyta; Magnoliopsida; Poales; Poaceae. The record is from RNAcentral.